Molecule: ribosomal RNA, 751 nt
Filed under: Hypoderaeum sp. Hubei-2014
Lineage: Eukaryota; Metazoa; Platyhelminthes; Trematoda; Plagiorchiida; Echinostomatidae
Description: small subunit ribosomal RNA
Source: RNAcentral
AUCUAUUUAAUUCUGGUUGAAGAAGGUGGGAAGACAAGACUACAUAAAGCAGGUUUAUUGGUUCAGUAGAAGGAGACUUUACUGAGGUUAGUAGCUAGAUCUUAUGUCUCAGAGAAAUCUGGAUUAGGUUGUCUUUCAAGAAGUGGUGAAUACUCAGUGCCAGCAUCCGCGGUUAUUCUGUUAGCUUUAGUCUUCGGUAAUAGGUUGAAAUGGUUUAGAGAUUAUUGGCCGGUGAGGGGUAGAAUCUUUCUGGUGGGGAGAAGAGUCUUUAGAUGAAAUUAUGUCACUGUUUAUUAAGGGGAUUAGAUACCCCCGUAAUGGUGUUUAAAUUUUGUUCCGUAGUAUAAACUAAAAGGAUUUGGCAGCCGACGAGGUUCUUCCGGGGGAGCGUGUAUCAUAAAAGAUAGUCCACUUAAGAAUCAACCCUCUUUAGCUAAGUUAGUGUAUAUCCGGUUUAAAAUUUGUGGUUAAUGUCUAUGAGUGUAACUAUUUGUUUAAUCCAGGUCUAUGUGCUGCUUAUAUUGGGGGGCUUAUGCGCUACAUUAGUAAAUUGGUAACUAGGAAGAUUAGUUAUUGGGUUUAGGACUCGGAAGUAGGCAUACAAUACUAUCAAGUUAGUGUGUUGUGUCGAAGAUGAUUUAGUUGGGGUACACACCGCCCGUCACCCAGGGCGAUAGCUGUGGUAAGUCGUAACAUGGUAAUGCUAGGGGAACCUGGUGUUAGUUAAUUCUUUUACUUGGGGGAGGAAUUU